UCAGGAUGAACGCUGGCGGCGUGCCUAAUACAUGCAAGUCGAACGAACUUCCGUUAAUUGAUUAUGACGUACUUGUACUGAUUGAGAUUUUAACACGAAGUGAGUGGCGAACGGGUGAGUAACACGUGGGUAACCUGCCCAGAAGUAGGGGAUAACACCUGGAAACAGAUGCUAAUACCGUAUAACAGAGAAAACCGCAUGGUUUUCUUUUAAAAGAUGGCUCUGCUAUCACUUCUGGAUGGACCCGCGGCGUAUUAGCUAGUUGGUGAGGUAAAGGCUCACCAAGGCAGUGAUACGUAGCCGACCUGAGAGGGUAAUCGGCCACAUUGGGACUGAGACACGGCCCAGACUCCUACGGGAGGCAGCAGUAGGGAAUCUUCCACAAUGGACGCAAGUCUGAUGGAGCAACGCCGCGUGAGUGAAGAAGGGUUUCGGCUCGUAAAGCUCUGUUGUUAAAGAAGAACGUGGGUAAGAGUAACUGUUUACCCAGUGACGGUAUUUAACCAGAAAGCCACGGCUAACUACGUGCCAGCAGCCGCGGUAAUACGUAGGUGGCAAGCGUUAUCCGGAUUUAUUGGGCGUAAAGCGAGCGCAGGCGGUCUUUUAAGUCUAAUGUGAAAGCCUUCGGCUCAACCGAAGAAGUGCAUUGGAAACUGGGAGACUUGAGUGCAGAAGAGGACAGUGGAACUCCAUGUGUAGCGGUGAAAUGCGUAGAUAUAUGGAAGAACACCAGUGGCGAAGGCGGCUGUCUGGUCUGCAACUGACGCUGAGCUCGAA
RNAcentral lists this ribosomal RNA (777 nucleotides) under Pediococcus pentosaceus. Its description in RNAcentral is "bacterial SSU rRNA". It matches the Rfam family "Bacterial small subunit ribosomal RNA", at positions 24 to 757 of the family's 1533-position model. The record is from RNAcentral. Lineage: Bacteria; Bacillati; Bacillota; Bacilli; Lactobacillales; Lactobacillaceae.